CCCGGGCCCGCAGCUGAGGCAGGGCGCUCGGCAGAGCUCACGCUGCCUUCUGACCCCUCAGCUUCUCCUCUGCAGCCGAGCCGCAAACAGCGACCCUUGGCGAUGCUCACCUGCAAUUCUGCUGCAGAUGCUUCAUAGGUGAUGGGCUGGCUUUACGUACAGGAGCUCUCCUCCAGAAAUGGCAGAUAAAUACUUGCCUCACACGUGUUUGGAGGAUGGCUCCCAUCACUGGAGAAGGCUGGGAGCUUGCGGAGUCCUACUGAGAGUAAAGUGACUCAUAAUAUACAAAUGGAGAGAAAUAAUUCAAACAGCAUGUGAUCUUAAACCUCCUUUUCAGCUGCAAAUAGAAAGCUGAAGAUGGUUUGCCAUUAACUUCUUGCAUUAAGCCAUAUGUCUGUGCCUUUGGGGAGCUCACAAAGUCUAACCUGGAUUCAGGUCAUGUCCUUCCAACCAAACCAGAAAUUUUUUUGUCAUAAGUGAUAGAAUUCCAUUUUACUUGUCUGGUCCAGAUGGUGGUUGACCUGCAAAGAGUUCAUGUGCUGAUGGAAAUAAAUGAUGUUGGCACCUUGGGAGAGAAGAAUCCAUCACACCUUCUGUACCAAGCUGAAGUAAAUUUAGGAAGGCAGCCUUGACCUUUCAUGCCUUGGCCUUAAAAUAAUUUGUGCCAUCCCAAAUCCUUGAUGUUGAUGUUACAGCCAGAACCUCAGAAACAGCUUGAGAACUUGUGUAGCCUGACUUUUCUAGUGGAUCAAUCUCUUCAAAAACAAGAUCAAUGGAGCAUCCAUGUCAUUGCAAAGUACAUAUUCUUUUUUCUAUUGUUUCUGUAUCUUAGUCUGUUUUUUUCCUUCUUUUGCAUGUAGCAGAUGUUAACAAGGGUAACAGUAGGUUAUUGUAAAAUAAUUUCUUAGAGGGUCUCUGCAAGUUACAAUGCUUUGUAUGUUAAGAAUAAUUGA
Long non-coding RNA from Ficedula albicollis (Collared flycatcher), 953 nucleotides. RefSeq lists it as uncharacterized. The record is from RefSeq and is a predicted model, not a curated record. The transcript has 5 exons. Lineage: Eukaryota; Metazoa; Chordata; Aves; Passeriformes; Muscicapidae.